CCUACGGGAGGCAGCAGUGAGGAAUAUUGGUCAAUGGACGAGAGUCUGAACCAGCCAAGUAGCGUGAAGGAUGACUGCCCUCUGGGUUGUAACCUUCUUUUAUAUGGGAAUAAAAUGUUCCACGUGUGGGAUUUUGUAUGUACCAUAUGAAUAAGGAUCGGCUAACUCCGUGCCAGCAGCCGCGGUAAUACGGAGGAUCCGAGCGUUAUCCGGAUUUAUUGGGGUUAAGGGGUGCGUAGGCGGAAUGCAAAGUCAGCGGUAAAAUCGCGGGGCUAAACCUCGCUCCGACGUUGAAACUGGCGUUCUUGAGUAGGCGAGAAGUAGGCGGAAUGCGUGGUGUAGCGGUGAAAUGCAUAGAGAUCACGCAGAACUCCGAUUGCGAAGGCAGCAUACCGGCGCCUAACUGACGCUGAAGCACGAAAGCGUGGGUAUCGAACAGGAUUAGAUACCCGUGUAGUC
Molecule: ribosomal RNA, 459 nt
Filed under: uncultured bacterium
Lineage: Bacteria
Description: partial 16S ribosomal RNA
Rfam family: Bacterial small subunit ribosomal RNA
Source: RNAcentral